Molecule: ribosomal RNA, 614 nt
Filed under: bacterium 37-L049659-122-016-E05
Lineage: Bacteria
Description: bacterial SSU rRNA
Rfam family: Bacterial small subunit ribosomal RNA
Source: RNAcentral
AGUCGAGCGGCAGCGGAGAAGUAGCUUGCUACUUUGCCGGCGAGCGGCGGACGGGUGAGUAAUGUCUGGGAAACUGCCUGAUGGAGGGGGAUAACUACUGGAAACGGUAGCUAAUACCGCAUGACCUCGCAAGAGCAAAGUGGGGGACCUUCGGGCCUCACGCCAUCGGAUGUGCCCAGAUGGGAUUAGCUAGUAGGUGGGGUAAUGGCUCACCUAGGCGACGAUCCCUAGCUGGUCUGAGAGGAUGACCAGCCACACUGGAACUGAGACACGGUCCAGACUCCUACAGGAGGCAGCAGUGGGGAAUAUUGCACAAUGGGCGCAAGCCUGAUGCAGCCAUGCCGCGUGUGUGAAGAAGGCCUUAGGGUUGUAAAGCACUUUCAGCGAGGAGGAAGGGUUCAAUGUUAAUAGCACUGUGCAUUGACGUUACUCACAGAAGAAGCACCGGCUAACUCCGUGCCAGCAGCCGCGGUAAUACGGAGGGUGCAAGCGUUAAUCGGAAUUACUGGGCGUAAAGCGCACGCAGGCGGUUUGUUAAGUCAGAUGUGAAAUCCCCGAGCUUAACUUGCGAACUGCAUUUGAGACUGGCAAGCUAGAGUCUUGUAGAGGGGGGU